Molecule: unclassified non-coding RNA, 1822 nt
Filed under: Hevea brasiliensis (rubber tree)
Lineage: Eukaryota; Viridiplantae; Streptophyta; Magnoliopsida; Malpighiales; Euphorbiaceae
Source: RNAcentral
AAAAAUUUGAACUCUCAAAUGAGUGAAACUGAAACCACACAAAUUCUCCCCAAUUUCACUUGUACUAAUCUCUAUGAUUCAAAAUUAUAUAUGAACAUAAAAAGCAAAACAUAGAUAUUAUGUAACAACAAUUGAAGUUUCCAUUUGAUAUCCAAAAUUUUGCAUCAUUUCUAUGUAUUGUAUUUGACUAUUAUUCUAUAACGUGACACCAUAUGGCGAUAGAAAUAAAAUUACUCGCUUGCCCCUUAUACAUAAAAUUGGAACAUUUAGAACUAUUUGUUAAAGGAAAUUAGUGCCUGCAUGAUUUUGAUGCAAGAGUUGGUGAGCAAUCUGAUCCCUAGCUUGUACAGCAUUCAUUGACCUCACAAUAUUUUCUGGAACCAUUUCAUCAUCGAAAAGAUCAAAUCUCAGCCCUGGAUUCAGUUGUUCACCUCUCAUCUCGCAAAUAUUAUGCAAUACACAGCAAGCCCCCAAUACCACAGGCAAAUCUUGAAGCUUCACUUCUGUUCUCUUGCGUAAGCAGCUCCACCUAGCUUUCAUUCGCAUAAACGCCUCUUUAGCAACCUUUUGGACUUCCCCUACUUUUUCAUUAAAAGCAUGUUGAGUCCAAGUAAGAUUUUGGCGUGUGUAAGGAGCUAAUACCCAAUCCAUUAAUGGAUACCCUGAAUUUCCUACAACCCAAGUAUCCUUCAACUGUCCCCUGUUUGCUCUCUGAUACAGAGCUGAUUUUUCCAAUACUUUGUCAUCAGACAUCGAACCAGGCCAACCGAUGCAAACAUCUGUGAAAACCCCUUUUGGAUCCACAACACCUUGAACUGUAACGGAGUAUGAAGUUUUCUGAUUCCUUUCUGUAUGCCUUUUGUUGAAAUAAGCAGCUACACUUACUUUUGGGGCGAUUAUUGGAACAUGUGUUGUGUAAAUAGAUCCACCUACAUUUGGCAUCCCGGAUAACAUCUGGAAUUCACUUUUGAUCUCGUUCAUCUUGUAAUCCUCAUUAGGCCAUUGCACGAAUUUUGGCAUGAGUACGCCUUUAAUUGCAGUGCAAACCUCUAGAACAAGCUUAUGACAUGUAGAUAUGCCUAGGCCAAAACGCUUGGAAACUUCACGAAGUGGCUCUCCUGUAGCCAAUCUCCAAAUGCAGACAGCAACACGUUGGCGAACUGGAAUUGCUUGACGAAGCAUUGUGUCCUUUUUAGUGACUACAGAUUCCAAUUCUUCACAGAUCAUAUCAAAAGUUGCUCUGCUCACCCUAAACGCCUUUUUAAACUCCUCUUCUGGAAAAUCAGGGCUAUUACACUGUUCCCACCAUGCUUUAGACCUGUCUUUCACCCAUAACCUCCUUUGCUGUUGAGGCUGAGAUUCCUCCUCCGAAGUUGAAAUGAAUUCAGCAGAACCCUGACGAGACCUUUUGUUAUUCGUACUCGCCAUUGGCUUCACUUUCUCAUUUAUCAUUAUUAACCCGGUAGGUUGUUGAUUCGAAAAGUCAAAAACAGAUUGAUUUUGAUUUGUGAAUUGCUUAAGGUUCGUUUUGUCUUCUUCCUUAUCAAAUCCCAAAAAUUUGUUUAAUAUAUCCUCAACACUCUUCAAAGAGCCCUGCUGUUCAACAACUUGUUCCAAAUCAAAAUCAAAAUCAUCAACUCUUUGCUUUUUAGGAAGCGGUUCAGCAACUAUCGGAGCAAGAGUAUCAGUAGUAGGGAAGUCAAAAUCUUGAAAAAAACUGAAGAAAUUAGGAGAAGGAUAAUCUUCCUGAUUGGGAAAUAGGAAAGAAGAAAUUUCCAUUAAAAAAAAUAUUGAAAAUAUGAAGAGAGAACGGAGAAGUGUG